AUGCACGCUGGCGGCGUGCCUAAUACAUGCAAGUCGAGCGAACAGACGAGGAGCUUGCUCCUCUGACGUUAGCGGCGGACGGGUGAGUAACACGUGGAUAACCUACCUAUAAGACUGGGAUAACUUCGGGAAACCGGAGCUAAUACCGGAUAAUAUAUUGAACCGCAUGGUUCAAUAGUGAAAGACGGUUUUGCUGUCACUUAUAGAUGGAUCCGCGCCGCAUUAGCUAGUUGGUAAGGUAACGGCUUACCAAGGCGACGAUGCGUAGCCGACCUGAGAGGGUGAUCGGCCACACUGGAACUGAGACACGGUCCAGACUCCUACGGGAGGCAGCAGUAGGGAAUCUUCCGCAAUGGGCGAAAGCCUGACGGAGCAACGCCGCGAGAGUGAUGAAGGUCUUCGGAUCGUAAAACUCUGUUAUUAGGGAAGAACAAAUGUGUAAGUAACUAUGCACGUCUUGACGGUACCUAAUCAGAAAGCCACGGCUAACUACGU
This 495-nucleotide ribosomal RNA is filed under the name uncultured bacterium. Its description in RNAcentral is "partial 16S ribosomal RNA". It matches the Rfam family "Bacterial small subunit ribosomal RNA", at positions 29 to 506 of the family's 1533-position model. The record is from RNAcentral.